This 422-nucleotide ribosomal RNA is filed under the name uncultured archaeon. RNAcentral's name for it is "partial 16S ribosomal RNA". It matches the Rfam family "Archaeal small subunit ribosomal RNA", at positions 322 to 746 of the family's 1478-position model. The record is from RNAcentral.
CCUACGGGUCGCAGCAGGCGAGAAAACUUUGCAAUGUGCGAAAGCACGACAAGGUUAAUCCGAGUGGUUUCUGCUAAGAAACCUUUUGUUAGUCCUAGAAACACUGAUGAAUAAGGGGUGGGCAAGUUCUGGUGUCAGCCGCCGCGGUAAAACCAGCACCUCAAGUGGUCAGGAUGAUUAUUGGGCCUAAAGCAUCCGUAGCCGGCUAUGUAAGUUUUCGGUUAAAUCUGUGCGCUUAACGUACAGGCUGCCGGGAAUACUGCAUAGCUAGGAAGUGGGAGAGGUAGACGGUACUCGGUAGGAAGGGGUAAAAUCCUUUGAUCUAUUGAUGACCACCUGUGGCGAAGGCGGUCUACCAGAACACGUUCGACGGUGAGGGAUGAAAGCUGGGGGAGCAAACCGGAUUAGAUACCCCGGUAGUC